RNAcentral lists this ribosomal RNA (250 nucleotides) under uncultured bacterium. RNAcentral's name for it is "partial 16S ribosomal RNA". It matches the Rfam family "Bacterial small subunit ribosomal RNA", at positions 524 to 773 of the family's 1533-position model. The record is from RNAcentral.
UACGAAGGUCCCAAGCGUUGUUCGGAAUCACUGGGCGUAAAGCGUGUGUAGGCUGCGUGGAAAGUCGGAUGUGAAAGCCAAGGGCUCAACCCUUGAACUGCAUUCGAUACUUCCAUGCUAGAGUAAUGGAGAGGUAACUGGAAUUCUCGGUGUAGCAGUGAAAUGCGUGGAUAUCGAGAGGAACACCAAAGGCGAAAGCAGGUUACUGGACAUUUACUGACGCUCAGACACGAAGGCUAGGGGAGCGAAA